GAAAAACUUGUGUGGUAUUUGUACUUCUCCUGUGCAUCUAACCGAUACUUGUCCUAUUUUGCAUGAUGAAUUGAUCACUGAGUUGCCUCAAGCUUAUGCAGCAAACUUUUACAAUCAAGGCAACAAUCAGAACAGGUAUAACAACAUUCCUGACCUAUCCACCAAUAAAUACCACCCCAAUUGGAGGAACCAUCCCAACCUUCGAUAUGGAAACCAACAGCCAACCCAACCAGCAGCUAUCCCCCAAGCCACCAUUUC
This 258-nucleotide long non-coding RNA is filed under the name Lathyrus oleraceus (garden pea). Its description in RNAcentral is "Pisum sativum (pea) long non-coding RNA (PSAT_LNC041933)". The record is from RNAcentral. Lineage: Eukaryota; Viridiplantae; Streptophyta; Magnoliopsida; Fabales; Fabaceae.